Molecule: long non-coding RNA, 5530 nt
Filed under: Gallus gallus (chicken)
Lineage: Eukaryota; Metazoa; Chordata; Aves; Galliformes; Phasianidae
Source: RNAcentral
CUAGUUUCGCCGGACGGCGCCCGUCAGCUCCUCCUGGCGGUUGGGCCCAGCGGGCGUGAGCGGCGGCUGGGGACCGGCGGGCCGGGGACAGGGGCAGAGCGGGACGGCUCUCGUAGGCCGAGGUGCGGCCUUCAGAGGUGCGCGGCGGCGUCACGGCUCGUUCCUCCUGCCCGGGCUUGGGCAGUGCUCAGCAGCGCCAUCUGAUCGGCUUUCGUGCCGGAUGGAGCCAGGGGUUGGACUCAGUGCCUCGACGUGUGGGGACACUGUAAACUCGGCUGUUGAGCGAUUCUGUCAUUCGACUGACCCACUUGUUCCCUUCCGCUUCAGAAACGCCGCCAGCCGGUGGUCACCCGGCCGACGGAGUUCUGCUCUGUCACCGUGUUCGUGCAUGCUCAGGAGAGCACCUCCACUCAAUAUACCCGAAUGCAAACACGUGGCUGCUGGGCUCCUUCGGUUUAGGUCACUGAACGCUCUUAAAAAGCAUGGCUGUGUGCUGGCUGCUUUGUAGAAACGUCCACCUUCAGGUCAGUGCUACUGAAGGGACCUGACAGGUAACACUGAAAGGAGCUGCGAGGAGAGGAAUGGCACGAACUCAGGACUAAAACUGAAAUUAAGCUAAGCUAAGGAUACUGAGCCACAUCCUUACUUUAAACAGCUGGGGACAUCUGCACAGACUUGGGAUGUCUAGAACCUGGCAUGAUCUGCAUAGCUCUGCAACAUUUCUGACUGUUGGUGGUUUCUGAGUGAAGCUGAGCACACUUAUCUUGGAACAGCUCGCAACUGGUAUGGGUGUGGACUGUUUGUAAAAGCAAAGUGACUGUCCUCUCGUGGCCUGGGCUGAUCUUCAGGGAACACAAAGGUGAACUUCUGCAUGAGAGUGGUGAAGAAGAUGAAAAGCUCCAUCCUGGUCAGCUGUUCCCCCAGGCAGGCACGUCGACCUGCAAGAAGGAAUGUUCAUGAGAGAGGACACAUAACCAUGCUGAAAUCACUGUGAGAUGAACACCCUUUGUGUGUAGACAAAGGAUGGAGCAAAACACAAUCAGAAGCCUCCUUGCUCUGGAUGGAGAGAAGGAAGAAAGUGAGACUGCUUUGUUAACCAUGUCAAAAAGGCUGAGACUCACAGUGAAUUAGUUAGAUGGUGCAUCACGUCUCUCAGGCACAGUCACAGAAUAAUUAAGGUUGAAAGGGUCCCCUGCAGGUCUUACUCCCUGCUCAAAUGCAAAGAUGAGGAAAAGGACAACCCUUGGACUUCUACUUCCCAGAAGGCAGACCACCACUCUUGCUGUGCACCAGACUUACAGCUAGGUCCUCCCCUUAGAUUUACCUGCAGAGAAGGGCAAGAAGGCCUCUGGUCUCACAAAUUGCCCAUUCUCAUUCAGAAAGUGUUCAGGGUAAAAUUCAUUUGGCUUCUUCCAGGCCGUCUCAUCCUUAAGUACUGAAGUCAAGUUGGUGAUGAUUGUCGUCCCCUGCACUCAUUCACAAGAGGAAACAACUUAUGUGAGAACCACAGAAUUAUCUUAGCAUGACAGAUAAGUGCUGGUCCCUCUUCAGUCAGUCUCUCCCACCUAAUGCAGUCAUUAUUAGGUGCUUCAGAAUAAGGCACCAAGCUCUUCUUGAUCUUACUGAAAACAGAGGUGAAGCAGUCGCACUUUUCCAGUAACACAUGCUGCCUGCCUAUGCUCACACAGCGUUGGUAAUUUUGUAUUCUUACAAAGGCUGCUCCAUGCAAAUGCCAAUUUCAUGGUUACAGAGUGCAAACAGCCUCUGCUUCUUAGAUCCCCCUGGACUUAUUUUAUAGCUGGAAAGAAAAAGCUAACAGACUUCAAAGCCCAACCUUUGCAUGGGAUAUGGAAAACCUCAAAGCUUAUAUUUUAAACUUCAGGGAAUCAUUGCAUGACUUAAAAAACAUCUCAGGCCUGCAUUACAGCCAGCACUGCCAGGGGAGAGAGCUCCUGAGAUGCCUCUGCAGUUGAUUCCGGCAUAAGCAGUGUAUACCAGAGUGCAAGUGGGACCAUCUGUGUAAUCUUAGUAUUUCAAAAUUCCUGCUUCAGUGUUCACCACGACUGUGCUUUGAGGCAGGAGGGACAAAGCUGCAGAGUUGUGUGGGGUCACACCAGGCCUGGACUCUUCCUGGAGCAAUGUUGCUGCAUUGGCUGUCCUGGCACACUCACUUUGGGAAUGAAGAAACCUUGAAGCUCAGUGUCCCGGUAUGUCAUGUGAGGUAGUCCCAUAGGAACAACGUCCCCAAAGCGUUGUACUUCAUGGAUGACGGCAUUGGUGUAGGGCAUGUUCACUUGGUCUGCCAUGGUGGGCGGUCGGUUUCUUCCAAUCACCUUAUCAAUCUCUUUGUGGACUUUACCUAGAAGCAGCACAGCUUAGGAAUUAGAGCUUCCGUAGAUAAUCAGAAGGGGCUGAUACAAGGUAUGGGAAAGCUGUCAGCAUGAGCUCAGCAGGCACUGGGCAAGAGCAAGACAAGCAAUUAUAGAAAGGGGCAGAAACUAUGGGAAUACACUUUUUCAGUUGCUCAGAAGGAUCUCUAUAAUUUUGGCUGUGCACAGCGCCUUUAAUAAAAUUCAUUUGACAUGCUGCCUUACCCCUCCUCAAUGUGACUGAAAGUGUACUUGUGCAUGUAGCAUUUGAGAAUUAAAACAGUUUAGGGUGUGUUCCAAAUACAGGAAGGAGGGCACCAUGGCCACUGAAAGUCCCCCAGCAGCCUUCAUUGCGUGGGAACCUGAACAUGGCCUUCCAACUCCAGUCUUUUCAUCAGAUUCCCCACAGCUCUUACUAAGCUGUGCCAGAACAGCUGUGUUUGGGGAAGCGUUUCACCUGGUUUCUCCCAGACCAACAAUUCCCAAAGCUGUUUCUUAUUGCAGAAAGCCCAAAAUACGGAGAGAUGUGCAGUGUCCUUGCCAUGAAAUGAGUGUUCAGAGGAGCAUACCACACCUGUACUUGUCCUCUCACUUACUUUGUAUUUCUGGGUACAAAAGCAUGAACAGGAACGCCCAUCGGAGGGUGGUGGCGGUGGUCUCAGAACCAGCUACAAGUAAGUCUGCGGUCACCAGAGUAAGGUUGCUUUUAUUGAAACCAUUCUCUUCAGCCUCCUUACCCUGCGGAGAGCAAACAAGUGUGUGACAGGAGCAAAGACGCUUUCUUGAGUGAGAAGACUUUCUUUCAGAGAAAUACUGAGAAGCAGUAGAUCCAUUUUUGCCGACCAGGAAGUUCAUUGGCAGAGUAGAGUACAACACAAGCUGUGGUCUGUGUAUGACUGAUGUGCUUAAAUCAUGCCGUUACCACUAUACUCCUGUAUGCCAGUGUGAAAGGUGAAAGUUACACCUGCUUUCAUAGUGAAUGCCUUAUGCUCUCAACUCAGCAGGCCACUGCCACAUACUGUGACAUCCUCCCCCAGAGGAGGUGCAACUCUGCUACACAGACUGAACAGAUCUGAAAACCCACACAGCAGCGAGGAGGCCGCACUGAUGUGGCAAAUUCAAAUCAGCAGUAUUUUGAGGGGGCUAUCUAUCUAUGCAUUACAGAUUCUCACUGUUUUGCCCUGGUAUUUUGUUGCAAUUGUGGGGGGGGAAAAAAAAAAAGGUCUCAGGGUAUCAUUGCUACCUAUUACAUCUGCGACACCAAUCUCCGCAAAACUGGUCUCUCAUCCAAAUGCUAUUUGAGCUCAGAUUUGAGCUAGCAUAUGAGAUCUGACAAGCUCUCUGUAUGAGUUCAUCUGCUUGUCUUUUCUAAUCCCUUUUAUACUUUUCUUUCCUAGGGACUAGUGUCUGCUAACUUAUUCUGCAUAUUUUGAUGCUGUCUUACUAUGGAUAGCAGUUAAUGAGGUACCUCUGACUCAGCUUUGAUUCAAACAAAAAAUCUCUGGCAAGGAAGCAGAGGGACUGGCCUGACCAAAGUUAGCACCAGCAGAGGGAUUUUUCAGUCUGGCUUUUUAGGGGACCUUAGGUAAGCAGCAGAGAGAUGUGACAAGAGGGGAUGUGGUCAGGCUCAGAUCCACCCCUUAAAGGCCUGCAAAGUGAUGUAGGCUGAAAAGAGAGCUGCCAGACACUGAGAGGAAAAAGGGUGGAAGAUGGGGAUGGGAACAGUGGAUUAUAUGAUCUCUGAGGAUAAUCAAGGAGGGCACAGCAUGAAGAUCUGAACACCUCAUUUCUAAAGUAUGACAUGGAAUGAAGAGGUAGGAAAUUCAUAACAGUCUUUAUAGAACUUUAUAAGCGAAGCCAGCUUCUAUCAACAAGUUUAAAGAAGUAGAGGAACUGCCCCAGGACUCUGAGGUUCUGCUGUUCUCUCCCUACCUUUGCCAUUUCCUUUAAAAAUGCAUCAGUGAAGUCUCGGAUGUAAGCAGGGUUCCAGGUCUCCUUGUGCUUAUCUAUGAGCAUUUGUGUGAAGUCUACGUAUGCCUUUUGGCACGGAAAGAUCUUCUGUGGCAGUCCAGGGAUGCGCAACAAAACAGGUGCCACAUUAAGAAGCUGGUAGGCAAGAACCAUACAGAAAGAGACAAAGUAUUAUGUGAUGCAAAAAUUAAAAUAAUGGAAACACAGUGCUCUCAAGUGAAGAGGGCAGUGUCUCACAGAACAGAAUAUGCUUCUGUAUUACCUGAGGCAGGAAUCCAGCUUCUUCAUUUAGAGAGUUUUCAAACAAAGUUAACAGCUUCUUGAAUGUCUUGUCUCCAUAGUCGAAACGCUCUCCAUAGGUAAUGGUGCAGAUCACAUUGCAGACUGCAUUAUUUACAAGAAAACGUGGAUCAAAAGGAUGACCUAAAAAUGGAAAUGGAUAUCAAGAAAAGAGGCUAAGCAACAUCGCGUUGUGGUGCUGCAGCUUCCAGCAACAAGAAUAUGCACAUACCUCUUUGUUGCUUUCAAGAGAAAAAGCCCCCAAAGUGCUGAAAUUAGAAAUACUUCAUAGUAGGAAUAGAACAUCUUCUCAUCUCCUACUAUGGUUCAACUGGUCAUUGUUUAAAGAAGAAAAGUCCCCAAGAAAAUCUGACUUACAGGGUUGUUUUGUCACAUGACAGCACUUCUUCUUGUGUCUAAUGAUAGUUGAUGCGGUGUGAAAGCUGUCAGAUUCAUUUUGCCAUAUAUGAUGAUAGUGAUUUCAUGGAAUCAUAGAAUGGUUUGGGUAGGAAAUUACCUCAAAGCCCACUGAGUCCCAACUCCAGCUGUUACGAGGGCUGCCACCCACCACUUGGGCUGCCCAGGGCCCCAUCCACUUUGGCCUUGAGUGCCUCCAGAGACACAGCUUCUCCGGGCAGCCUGUUUCAGUGCCUCACUACUCUCUGAGUAAAGAAUUUCCUCCUCUCCCCUCUUUCAUUUUAAAACUGUUCCCCAUGUCGUUUCGCCAUCAAAUCAUGUUAAAAAUCAAUCUCCUUCCUGAUUGUAAGUUCCCCUCAAAUACUGGUAUGCUGCAAUGAGGUAUUCCUGAAGCCUUCUCCUCUGUGGGCUGAACAAGCCCAGCUCCCUCAGCCUGUCUUUGUAGGAGCGGUGCUCCAGCCCUGUGAACAUCCUCAUGGCCUCUUCUGGAUCUG